GCCUUCUUGGUGUAGUGGUCAGCACGCUCGGCGCGUAUUCGAGAGGUCCGUGGUUCGAUUCCAGGCGAAGACA
This 73-nucleotide transfer RNA is filed under the name Stegodyphus mimosarum. It matches the Rfam family "tRNA". From Rfam's summary of the family: Transfer RNA (tRNA) molecules are approximately 80 nucleotides in length. Their secondary structure includes four short double-helical elements and three loops (D, anti-codon, and T loops). Lineage: Eukaryota; Metazoa; Arthropoda; Arachnida; Araneae; Eresidae. The record is from Rfam by way of RNAcentral.